RNAcentral lists this long non-coding RNA (10968 nucleotides) under Capsicum annuum. Its description in RNAcentral is "long non-coding RNA (CANN_LNC005962)". Lineage: Eukaryota; Viridiplantae; Streptophyta; Magnoliopsida; Solanales; Solanaceae. The record is from RNAcentral.
UAUACACGAGAGAGAUAAAGGAAAGGAAUUCUUAGAAGGUUCAUCAUCUUCAUUGGCUUCUGGGGAAAAAGAAUAUGAGAAGGGGUCCUUUGGGAAAAAAAAAUUCAUCAUCCUCACAUACACACGCACACUGUGAUACUCCAAAAAAUUCACUCAUCCCUCAUCUCACCGAAAAUCCCAUGACUCACCGAAAAUAGAACAUACACACGAUAGAGAGAGAGUGAGAGAUUCGAGAAUGGGAGGGAGAUAGAGGGAGAGAGGUCGAGAUCUGUAACGGAGAAGAAUGCGGGGUUGAUUUCGGGUUACUUGAAAAUGGGUUCCGAUGGGUUUGGUCGCUAUUCCGGCGAUUACUUCACCAAAAUAUCGUCGUGCUCUCCUGAUUUUUUGGUGAAUUCGAUAGGGAGACCAUAAUCUCAUCAGAACAAUCCAUUUUUUUUCAAAUGAUUUCAAGCGCUCCGUUCAGGAAAUAUUCUAACUCGCCGGAAUUCGACUUAUUUUUGUCUGUUCUGGUCACCGUUAGCUCACGGGAGCUCGGUCUACAUCAGGUUUCUAUUUUUUGUUAGUUUGUUAGGAUUUUUGGUUCGUCUUUUAUUUUGUUCGUCGUCGAUAUCGGGUUUCGAUUGGUUGCAUGGUAAAAAGGGUCGUCGUUCAAGAUUUAAAUUCUGUGUUAGGAGUUUAUUUUUAUGUUAGGAAUUUAUAUUCACGGAUCUCAAAGCUAUUUGGUUAUUAUUUUGAUAUCGAGUUCGGAGCAUAUUCAUCGUUGAGAUGCUAUUGAGGAUUCCAAAUUCAGGUUUUCUUUAAUUCGUAUUAUCAACAAAAAUUUGAUAUCGGAAGGUUCAUUCCUUAACUCUAUCUCUUCAUUAUUUUGAAUGUGAUUUUGUUGUGAUUUUGCGAUUUGGGUUUGGAUAUUUUAGUCGUAUUAAUUGUUGUUGCGAGUAUGAAUUACUCAUGUGCAUGAAAUGUUUGAAUCUCUGUUGGAUGUUUGAUGUUGUUUGGCUUUGAAUCUCAAUGGCAUAAAUGUGAUGAUAAUAUAAAUUUGGGUUUGUAUAAAAAAAAAAAAAAAAGUAAUUUUGGGGUGGGAAUUGAAAGAUUAGUAAAAUGAUUUUGGUUUAAUUUUGAUUUAUUGAUUAUAUUAAUUUUGUUGAACUUGAUAGUAUCAUGUCUUAGGUUGCGCGUCGAUAGGCAAAUUCUAAGUUGGGGUAGGCAACUCAUAGGAUUCUAAUCAUCGAAUGUGUAAUUAUUUGUGUUGAGUGAUUUUUUUAUUUUUAUCGUAUUUUAUUAAAUGUAUUUAUUAAGUCGGGGAAUGCCCCGAAGCUCAUUUGUAUUUAUUCACCGGGGAAUGCCCCGACGUAUUAUGUUGGCAGAAGAUGUUCGUGAUCAAGACCCAAGGCACCGGGUGGAGCGUAGUUUAGGAUUAACGUAGGUUUACAUUUCAGUUCCUUCUAUUUUGGGUUUGUAAUAAUUAGACUGAACAUUAACUUUUGGAUUUUCGUUUGUUUGGUUUGGUUGUUUUUAUGUGUUUUGUGGUUUAUACAUUCAUAAUGUCAUACUAGCCGAUAUGCUCCACCAAGCGAUCGUGGUCGAACCAUGGGAUCGAGGGGUGCCUAACACCUUUCCCUCGGUCAACAGAAUUCCUUAGCUGGAAUCUCUGUUCUCAAACCAGUUUUAAAAUAGUCAAACCGUUUUAAAAGGAUUUUUCAAAAGGUGACUUGGCACACUGGAUUUAUGUCAAGUGGUGACUCUGAGUUUUGAAUAUAAAAAGUCCUUUUCGAAAUAAUUCUUCAUUUUGUCACUUUAAUAAUAAUAAAAACAAAACUUUCGAAACCUUAAAAUGGAAUUCUUUCAGGUUAAAAAAGGGGUGUGACACUUUUAAGUAAACUUAAAAAUUUAUAUAAUCAUUUAAAAGAACUGUAAUUUUAGAUAAUUAUGAUAUAGUGUAAUUUUUCCUUUAGAAUAAUUUCAUCAAAUAAUUUUGUCAGCUCUCAUCUCAGUCAUUACAAUUUAAAGGAAUAAAUUGGUGUAUAUAUAGUAACUAUUAGCCAAAUUUUCAGAUAUUGGCCUUAUGUUUAAUAGUGGAUUUACCCUCUCAAUUUCCAUGUGAUUAAUCACAUCACUAUGUGAUGACUCCCUUACGUCAUCUCACAACCAACCAUUGAACUUUGGUUACUAAUUUUAUUGAGAAAAGACAUUUUUUUCCCUCAGAAUUUGUUCUUCAAACUCACUUUAGCACUUAAACUUAACUUCUGUUUAUUUACUUCCCUUAACAUCUUUAAAGUAUAUUAUUUUCACCCCUAAAAUUGACGUGAAAUUUAAAAAAAAAUACAUUUUUUAAUUUAAAAAUUGAUAUGGCCCCACUUUUUAAUAUAUAAAUAUGAAAAGAAAAAACACCUUCUUCAUACCCCAUCCCUAUUUCUUCAUCUUCUUUAUACCCCUCCAACUCCAUUUUCCAUCUUCUUCUUCUAUCCCUACCCCCACCAUAAUUUUUACUCUCCAAACCCACUACCACCAGCCCCCCUUCUCCUUCAACCACCAAUUUCUCCACCACCAGCCCGACCCCCUCCCUCCAAAUCCUCAAUUUCUUCUCCUUCAAUUACCAAAUCCUUCACCCCACCUAAACCCCUUGACUUAAGAUCAUUAGAAAAGCAUGAAAUUGAAUUUCUAAAAUUAAAAGUUAUCUUCAUGAAUUUAAAAUUUUGAAAUAAAAUUGAAAUUGAAGAAAAGCUAUUAGUGGUCACUACAAAAAAAACCGUAUUUAGCAACAGGCCGAAAACGUUGCUAAUCAACAUAUAUCCGUCUCUAUCUCAAUUUAGAAGUGAAUCAACGACGGAAUAUGUGUCGUUGCUAUUUUGCGCGUUGCUAACCCUUUAGCAACAGAAAAAAUAAAAUCUGUUGCUAGUUUUGCAACGUCAUAGAGACGACCUAUAUCCGUUGCCAUUUGUAGUAACGAAUAAAUUCGUUAUUAUAUAUAUAAAUGCCUUUACUAAUUUCAUAUUGUAUUUCGUCAUUUUGAUUAUUUCGUGAACAAAUAUUUCAUUGCUAGUCCGUUGCUAAAAAUUUUUAUAUUUAGUCUCCAAUUUUUUGUGAUAAAAGAUUAUUUUCCUCAAUCCAUUGUAAACAUCUACCAACUAUCCUUAAAAGAACCCACAUCAUCCAUAAUACCAAAGAUAGCAAAAUUUAAACACAAUUAUGUCCAAAACAUCCAUAGUAUCACAACACCCAUCUAAACAAAAUUAUGUCCAAACAUCUACAAAUUAUUCUUAAAAUAACCCACAUCCAUCAAGUGUAUAUUGUUGUUGCACAAUUUUAAACAUUUUCAAUAAAAUAUACCAUCAAAAAUCAAUGCACUGAUCAUCAAAAGUAUCACAACUAAUCAAGAUUGCAAUCAUCAACUAAGGAAUCACGAUUGUCCAAAGUAGUAGCCUUUUGCUUCAUAUCCAAGACCAAAUAGUCUCCGCUUUUUUCUCCCCCCACAGCUUGGUAGUAGGCUUCAAUUUGAUCAAUAUCAGAUUCUGAAAAUAUUUUUUCUCAUAAUAUUUCUUCAUAUCUUUUCUGUAAUAGAUGGAGUAAAAUUAUAACGGAUUGUACUUAAAAAUAAUUGGAUAACAAAAACUACUUUAAACUACAAAAUAAGAAUUAAGUAAACUAUUACAUUAAGAUUUAGUCUUACAUGGACGAUUCGGGAAUGUUCAUCAUUGAAAGAUUUUUCUUAAUGACCAUGUGUGUGAACAUACAAAUGUACCAGGUACUGAUACAUAGAAGCCAAUGUGGUAAUCACUUUCAAUAAUGUGAUGCUUGGAAAGAUACGCAGCUUGUCCCAUAUAAGAAAGAAUUAAUGAUGGAUAAACAACAAAAGUAAAAGCUAUCUGCAGAGAAGCAACUCUUAUUAGUACUUUGGUUGAAUUUAUAGUUACCACCAUAAAGGAUUUUUGCUUGGUAUUUUUACAAGCAGGAACGUUAUCAAAUUGAAUAAAACAUUAGGAGAAAAAUGUUAUUUUGACUAUAAACAGUCUAGCUAACACACCUCAGCUUAAUAUCCUCCAAUCUAAUACUCAGUUUAGGAAACUGAUACAAUACCAUCCUGUGUCAAUUUUUUUUAAAGGAACAAAAUUGAAAUGACAAUCUGCAUGCUAAAUGUACGCUCAUACUUGCAAGGAAAAAAUAAUUAAGAAGCUUGUGCGGAAAAGUGAAUUCUUAUUAUUCCCAUAGCAACUCAUGCAAAAAAUGUAAAAGAAGAAGAAAUGAUGCAGAAACACUAAAAUAGUGAAGUAUAACUAUGAUUUCUCGGUACCUUUCAGCAGCUUAAUGAGAACCAAAUUACUUGCAUUUGUUGUCUUCUGCAACAUCGACCCUAUAACAAGUGUUGGGAGCACAGUUACCAUAUCUUUUCCCCUUUGCUUUGCGUAUGACCAAGCUUCUUAAUCAGCUAACAGUACCAGUUCUGCAUGCAUUUGGAACCACAAAAUACAUUCAGAUAGGGAGCUUCUCUAGCAAAAUAAGCACUUAAGAGUCAAAUCUGAAUUUAUAUUAUAAGGACUAACUCAAUUAGAUAGCACACUGCUCAAGUAAUUAAGUAAUCAAUAUACAGAUCAUAUAUUACUAUACCAACAUUACGUAUCGUAUGCAAGAAGCAUGAAUAAUAAUCUUAAAUUUACACAGAAGUCCAAUUCACAAACUCUAUAUUUGUUGCUUUGCAGAAUUUUCUAUCAGAACAACAAGUCUCAUCCAUCGAUUUGGACUUCAGCCAGUUAGGGUUCAAGACAGAAGUAGCAACAGAAGAUACAGACACAACUCUCUUAAUAUUUUCUCAAAGCAUGACUUUGAAAUAUUAACUGUGCCUUUUACUGCAGGGUCAACAAUUUCAAACUGUAAUCUAGACAUUGAAUAUAUUGCUUUUGAUAAUGCAUCUAAGAACAAGACUUUUAUUGAUAAGUUAAAAGUUGACCUUUCUCCGUUAUUACCUGAAAUAUUUCAUUUUAAGUGUGCUUUUCAUAUAUAUAAUUUAAUUGUAAGAGAUAGUCUUGAAUUUUUUGAGCUUUAUAUUGAAAAGGUCCGACAUGUUGUUGGCUUUAUUCGAGGAAAUAAUUGGAAAUUAAGAGUGAGAGAAUUUAAAGCUAAAUGUGAAUAAAAUGGACUGAGACCGAUAUUUAUGUCUAAAGAAUAUGAUACUACAUGGAAUGCUACUCAUGCUUAUUUAAAAACUUGUUUUGCUUAUAAGGUCCCUAUUACAAUAACUUUUAUUCAAUAUUCUGGUUCUUUUACAACUGUGUAUGCUACAUGAUUCUGAUUGGGCUGCAACUGCUGAUCUUGUUCAGUUUUUGAAAAAAAUUUAUAUAGCUACGGUUGAAUUUUCUGGUACUUAUUAUCCUACUGUUUGUAAAAUUUUAGCUUAUUUAGCCGACAUUUCUUGUUUGCUUAAAAAAUAUUAGAAUAGAGAAGGUUAUAAAGAAGUUGUUACUAUUAUGUUUGCUAAAUUUAAAAAAUAUUUCUUUUUUGCUUUCCCCAAUUUACUUGAUUGAUGCUAUAAUAAAUCCAUGUAUGAAAUAUAAUACUGUGACCGAAUUUAGUUCUAUUAUUUAUACUGCCUUAGAGAUAGAGCCUGAAGAAGAACCUUCUUUGUUUAUGGCUAUGAGUGAUGCGAACAGUUACAUGGAAGCAUUAUAUAACCAUUAUGCUGAUUUACUUGAUAUAGCCAUACCGAGAAAUGUCACUCCAACUGUCGCUUCUCAAGCUCCCGAGGAGUCAUCAUCGUCUAAAAGGCCAGCACAUAGUGAUUUUCCUGAUUACUUUUAUGAUUUAAAUGUUUAGGACAUGGUUGUGACUUCAACAUACAGAACAAGUUCUCAGAAAAAGCUUAAGUAUUAUCUUCGAUAGCCAAUAGAGGAUUGUAGAAUAAGGAUCAACACGUUGGAUUGGUGAAAGAAUAAUAAAAGACAAUAUUCUGUGCUUUCAAGAUUAGCUAGAGAUAGAUAUAUUGAAUAUUCAAAUGUCAACCGUUGCAUCAGAGAGUGCUUUUAGUCAGGGACGACAACAGCUUGGAGACAACUGACAGUCAUUGAGAAGCAAUGUAAUGAAUGUUCUAAUUUGCCUUAGAGAUUGGAUUACAGCAGAACGAAGAAAUCAAGAAAUAGAGGUGGAGCCGAAAGACGAACAAAAUCUUGAACAAAUUAUGACUUCAAGGGAGAACUCAACACAAUCAAGUCUAAUGCAUAGUUUUGUCCUCAUUGAUUUUGACUUUUCUAUUGCAGUUCCCAUUAAUAUUAACAUGCAUGAGUUGAAAAAAAUAAUAUAAAAUUUAUACAUUUUUUAUUCAUGCAAAUUAUAAGUUUUGGAUCAUUUUGCAAUCAAUAAAAUACAACAUUCAUUCACUCCUUACUUUGUAAUUUUUUUUAUUUAAAUUGAAUUUCUAGUUUGAAUUAAAUGCUUUUAAUAUAUUACUAUCAAAUUUUACACUAAGUAAUAAACAUAACAAAUAUAUAUACAUAUAAUGAAAAAAUAAAAAUAAUAUUAGCAAAUAUUACUUAGACAACUAGUAUUGACAUAUAAAAAUACUAUAGUUUUAUAUUUUAAGUGUUGUAUGUAAAAUUAUAUUUUUUUGAAUAUAUGUUAAAACUUCAAGUAUUAUUAUAUUAAGUAGUAUACAUUGUAAUCUUGCAUGUAUAUAUGUGUGUAUAUUUUCUAAAGUACUAUAACAUGUAAUGUAUAUAUCUUUCAACUUUCAAGUGGUAUUUAAAGAAGUAUAUAUUCUACAUAUAUCUAUAUAUAUUUUCUAUAGACUCUAAAGUAGUAUAUAUUUAAUGUAUACAUGUCUAUAUAUUUUCUAAAGUACUAUAUAUAUAGUUUAUAUAUGUUGUAUGUAUAUUAUUUCAAGUGGUAUUUAAAGUAGUAUGUAUUCUACAUAUAUGUACAUAUAUUUUCUAUAGAUUAAAAUAAUAUAUAUUUAAUGUAUACAUGUAUAUAUGUUUCUAAAAUAGUAUAAUAUGUAAUGUAUAUAUGUUAUAUGUGUAUAUAGUUUCUAUAGACUUUAAAGUAGUACAUAUUUAACGUAUACAUGUGUAUAUAUUUUCUAAAUUAGUAUAUAUAUAGUGUAUAUAUGUUGUAUGUAUAUUAUUUCAAGUAGUACAUAUAUUAUAUUGUACAUAUGUAUGUGUAUAUAUUUUCUAUAUACUCUAAAGUAGUAUAUAUUUAACGUAUACAUGUGUAUAUAUUUUCUGAAGUUGUAUAUAUUUAGUGUAUAUAUAUUGCAGGUGUAUUAUUUAAAGUUGUAUUUUAAGUAGUAUAUAUAUUAUAUUGUCUGUAUAUAUGUGUAUAUGUUUUCUAAAGUAGUAUAUAUUUUUACUGCAUAUAUGUUGAAUGUAUAUUGUUUAACGUAUUAAAAUGUAUAUAGGUGUCUAUAUAUUUAAUAAAACAUGCAAAUUCGAUUUCUUUUUACAUUUUGACCGGUCAAAACCGGAUACAUGCUAAGUGGACCGAUUUCGGUCUGUUUCAGCGUAUUUUACUAUUUGGGCUCAGACUGAACCGACCCGUUAAGAGUGACCUGGUACCGAAUUGGCCCAGAAUCCGAUAAAAAUAUGUGGGCCGGUGCCAAUUUGAACUGGACUGGCCCGGUUGAUAGUAGUUCCAAUCUUUAUAGCAAUGAUCCUGCAAUAUUCCUAAACAUGUAUAUUCAUUUCAAUCUAUUUGUCUCCUUGAAAUCUAGGAGUUGUUUAGAUGGUCAUUCCUCAAAUUUCGACAUUAAAUAUAAUUACAAAAAUUAUUUAGAUGCAGAAAUUAUAAUAUAAUUAAAUGACAUAUUUAAAGUUUGAAAUAAUUACAAUUCCCAGCUAAGAUUUAAAUUAAUAGCAAAAGUAUAUUUAUUUGAUUCCUUAUGUAUUUUUUAUAUUUAUUUUAUGUCUUCAAAAAAAAAUAUAUUUAUUUAUUUAUUUAUUUAUUUAUUUCAUAUGUAUUGAGUUAUAUAGUUAAACUAUUUUCCUAGUUCUCUCUCACACACACAUAUAUAUACGUAUGUAUUUGAUGUCAUGUAUUUGUAUAUGUAUUUAUAAGAUAGGUUAGUAAAUUAUAUCAACCGUAUUUGUAUUUAUAUUCGGAAGCGAAUUUCGGGAGCCAAAUACAUUUGUUACUUAACUAUAGUUACAUUUUGUAAUUAGAGAAACAUUGUCCGUGACAGUUGAUUUUUCCAAAAUGUUAACUAUUUCAGAAAUGCCUAAUUGCUCUAAGAAAUUAAUCAAAGACCUUUUAUUGAAUUGAACCUUAUUAAAAUGUGUCACGGCCGAGAUUAACAGAUCGUACGGGCACCGACGCUAUUCUAAGUAAAUAGGAGAACUCUUAUUACCCAACUAAAAAUAUGCGGAAGACUGCUAUUUUUAAGGGAAUACUAGAUUAAAUAUAAUAAGUAAAUUAAAUACUAAUAAAUAAAUUAUUUCAAAAACUUCUUACAAAUGUCCUUCACUAUCCCAAGACUUGGCCAGACCUGUACAAGAGCUACCUAUUACAGCAUAGACUGACAGUAAAAUAAAUAAUACAAGGACUCUAACAUUUACCAGGAAGAAAGUGAAGAAGUUAGUGCUGAAUAUCGUCAUCCAUCUAGUAACUGUAAACUAACCUGCAUCCAGUCUACACUCCAAGAAGAAAUGUAGAAGAGUAGGGUCAGUACAACCACACGUACUGGUACGUAUCAUUGACCGACUGUGUUAGUCCAUAUAAUCAUAAAAUAUAAUUAAAGAAAAUAAAUCAUGACAUCUUGAAUGGAAUAUAAUUCAACUAAGAUUGUAAUAACAUUAUUACUUUACCUAUAUAACUUAUAUCAUCCAAGUACUCUUCUAACUCCAUCAAUAUUGUAUUCACUACUAACAUACUCUAGCCUCAUUAAUUCACACAAUCAACUACAAUCCAAAGCUAAUACAUCACUAUUCCUCUUUAUUCACCUUAUCUUUUUCAUACUCAUAUUCACAGGAACAAACCUGUAAUCAUAGACAACCCAUACUAAACUCUCUGGCUAACAACCAAAUGCUCUUUUAUAAUAUUAAAGAAUGAUAACUAGCCAUUCUGGUAAGCUACGAUUAAAACACGUAUAAAUGAAGCAAGUCAACCAACAUAUAAGUAAUUACAAAGCUUCAUUUUUUCAAAUACAUAUCACACAAUCAAAUACCCAAUAAAUCAACAAUACAAUAAUAACAGAUCAAACAGUGCUCACAAACAAGCCACAUAACCAUCAAGAAUAUCAACCAUAUUGUAAACAUGCACAGACUCAAUACAAAUAUGUACACACAUGCUAAGGGACUUAUUUUUGCCCAAAUAAUCAUGACCUGCAGGGAACAAUCUAUGUUCAUGUAACGUACCGUUGUGGUACCCGAUGUAAUAUAGAUACAUAUCCGUACCGGAGUGGUACCCGAUCCAUCAUACAUAAAUUUAUACCGGCGUGGUACCCAAUCCAACAUACACAUAUCUGUACCGGCGUGGUACCCGAUCCAACAUAUACAUAUCUGUACCGGCGUGGUAUCCGAUCCAUCACAAAUAGGUAAUAUCAGUAUCAAAUUUACACUACCACACAGCAUACAACACGAUGUGUCAAGUUUACAAGUACACUUAAAGUCAUAAGACAAUUUGAUCAAGUAAAUUUCCAAUAAUCAUUUAUACACGCAUCAACAAUUUCGAGCAUGUUCUAAUACCAAUCAACAAGUAGCCAAUUUAGGAGCAUACACACAACUAAAUCUAGUAUAAACUUCAAUUAAAUCAUAACCUACUAUCUACAUUUUAUUAAAUUCCCACUAUCUUUCGGGAUGCAAUAUGACGUACUAAAUCUAUAAGUGUAGUUAAAAUCAUAAAGAAAUUCGAUCAAGUUCUUUUAUUUAUCAAUAUUUUGACCCUCUCACGGGUAUUAUUUUAAUAAUUCAUCACGAUCAUCAACAAGCCAUUUAUGACAUUAAUUUAAGGAGUUAUCAUUAUCAAACAAGCCUCUCAUAUACACAUUUUAAUAAAUUAUCAUUAUCACUAAUUUAGCCACUCAUGGGCAUCCAAUAGAUAAAGUUCUUUUAUCAAUACCAAAACAAGAAUAUCAGAAAAUAAAUCAUAAUUUAUCACUUAAGCAUGCAAGUCACAAUUGGAGCAUUGCUUACUUAUUAAUUGUUAAAAUGUCACUACCUCUUUCCAUAUAAUAUAAUCAUCACACUAAUUCAAGUCAUCUAUCCUUUAGAUAUUACUAUGCUCAUCAAUGCUUAAUCCUAGCAUGGUUCUCCUCACCAUAUUAUUGUCCAACACAUACAACUUAAUAUCAUUAUAACUCAGCUAGGUUCAUCACCAAAACAAAUAAAAACUAUAAUUUCCACAUCCUUCAUUUACUACAAUCUCAUUGCGGCACAUAGUACAUAAUAUCACAAAUAUCACAUAAUUAAUCAAUAAUAUAGUUUUCGGAAUUAAAGUUAAGUUCUCGUGUCUUUAUCCACAUCAACUCCAUGCCCGCAGGCCUAGACAUUCUUCUCCCAUCAAUUCAAAAUUUUGAAAAUAUAAAAUAACACAAUCUGCUACUCAUUAAACCUAUCCUACUUGGACGCCAAGCUUUUGGGAGACUCAAGCUGCAACAAAGAUGCUCUUUCCUUUCCUUCAUGCCUUGGAAUAAUGAAUCAUCUAAAAAUCAAGCAAUUAUAAGAGUAAUUAAAUAAUUACUCUUCAAACAAAUAUCUUGGGGAUUCAAACCUAGUAAUUCUACCCUUAAUUCAAGGUCUAUAUCAUUCUUCAAGUUCAAUUAUUCAUUAAUUAGCUCUUUCAAGCUUAGUUCAUCUCCAUUAAUGGAGUUUUUAUGCUAAAGGUCUCAUCUUUACGAAAUUCAAGAUUCCUAACCAUCAAAACUCAUAAUCUAGUUUAUGAAAUUCAUGUUAGGAAUCUUUAAUUUAUAGAUUACAAUCAGCUUUAAGUUAUAUUAAAAACACCCAUGAGUAUUCCCAAAAGAAUUCCACCAUUAAAGGUUUUUUUUAA